GAUGAACGCUAGCGGGAGGCUUAACACAUGCAAGUCGAGGGGUAAAUGGUAGCAAUACUAUGAGACCGGCGGACGGGUGCGUAACGCGUAUGCAACAUACCUUGUGCAGGGGGAUAGCCCGUGGAAACGCGGAUUAAUAUUCCAUAGUCCAGCUAUAUCGCAUGGUAUAGUUGGUAAAGAUUUAUCGGCACAAGUUUGGCAUGCGUCUGAUUAGCUUGUUGGUAGGGUAACGGCCUACCAAGGCUACGAUCAGUAGGGGUUCUGAGAGGAUUAACCCCCACACUGGUACUGAGACACGGACCAGACUCCUACGGGAGGCAGCAGUGAGGAAUAUUGGUCAAUGGGCGGAAGCCUGAACCAGCCAUCCCGCGUGAAGGAAGACAGCCUUACGGGUUGUAAACUUCUUUUCUGUCAGAAGAAUAAGCUUGUCGAGACGAGUGAUGCCGGUAUGACAGGAAUAAGCAUCGGCUAACUCCGUG
RNAcentral lists this ribosomal RNA (479 nucleotides) under uncultured bacterium. RNAcentral describes it as "bacterial SSU rRNA". It matches the Rfam family "Bacterial small subunit ribosomal RNA", at positions 28 to 507 of the family's 1533-position model. The record is from RNAcentral.